AGAGUUUGAUCCUGGCUCAGAUUGGACGCUAGCGGGAUGCUUUACACAUGCAAGUCGGACGGCAGCACGAAGAGCUUGCUCUUUGGUGGCGAGUGGCGAACGGGUGAGUAAUGUAUCGGAACGUGCCCAGUAGCGGGGGAUAACUACGCGAAAGCGUGGCUAAUACCGCAUACGCCCUACGGGGGAAAGGGGGGGAUCGCAAGACCUCUCACUAUUGGAGCGGCCGAUAUCGGAUUAGCUAGUUGGUGGGGUAAAGGCCUACCAAGGCGACGAUCCGUAGCUGGUUUGAGAGGACGACCAGCCACACUGGGACUGAGACACGGCCCAGACUCCUACGGGAGGCAGCAGUGGGGAAUUUUGGACAAUGGGGGCAACCCUGAUCCAGCCAUCCCGCGUGUGCGAUGAAGGCCUUCGGGUUGUAAAGCACUUUUGGCAGGGAAGAAAC
Molecule: ribosomal RNA, 445 nt
Filed under: uncultured bacterium
Lineage: Bacteria
Description: bacterial SSU rRNA
Rfam family: Bacterial small subunit ribosomal RNA
Source: RNAcentral